CUGUAUGAAGGAAUAUGAAGACAGAACACUCCACAGGCUUUUUCAAUAGGAAAGUCCCCAGGAAGUUCCAUUUGUAGGUAUUUUCAUAUGAACUUGAUGGGUUGGCAGUUUUCAAGGCUGUUUCAAAGGCUUUGGAUAAUUAGACUACUCUUUUAUUCCAAUAGAGAGACUAAUCUGGUUCAGACUAUUUUCAUUUUAAUGUCUACCCCUAGUCAAUUCUGCUUUUUAAUAUGCAUUUUUCAUAAAUGCCUCAGAAAUGAGUGCUGUCUCUGAAUCACUAAAGCCAAUUACAUCAAUUUAUCAUAAAAUGUUCUAAAAUGCAUCUCUUCUCUUACAGAAACACAAAGGAACAUAUCCCAAAUGUAUAGUAUAAAAGGCUCUCCCAUAGUGGAAUUGCUUAGAAUUAAGAGCUACAUAAAUUGAAUUUCAAAUCAAAUGGGCCUAUUAGUAUAAUAAUUGUUCAAAAUGGGAUUCUAGGUCUC
This 482-nucleotide long non-coding RNA is filed under the name Pan troglodytes (chimpanzee). RNAcentral describes it as "long non-coding RNA NONPTRT016295". The record is from RNAcentral. Lineage: Eukaryota; Metazoa; Chordata; Mammalia; Primates; Hominidae.